This 36-nucleotide non-coding RNA is filed under the name Alexandrium minutum. Lineage: Eukaryota; Dinophyceae; Gonyaulacales; Pyrocystaceae. The record is from RNAcentral.
UGAAAAAAAAAAAAAAAAAAAAAAAAAAAAAAAAAA